Molecule: ribosomal RNA, 468 nt
Filed under: uncultured bacterium
Lineage: Bacteria
Description: partial 16S ribosomal RNA
Rfam family: Bacterial small subunit ribosomal RNA
Source: RNAcentral
GACGAACGCUGGCGGCGUGCUUAACACAUGCAAGUCGAACGGAAAGGCCCUGCUUUUGUGGGGUGCUCGAGUGGCGAACGGGUGAGAAACACGUGUGUAACCUGCCCUUGACUUUGGGAAACCUUCAGGAAACUGGGGCAAAUACCGGAUAGGAGCUCCUGCUCCAUGGUGUGGGUUGGAAAGUUUCGGCGGUUGGGGAUGGACUCGCGGCUUAUCCGCUUGUUGGUGGGGUAGUGGCUUACCAAGGCUUUGCCGGGUAGCCGGCCUGGGAGGGUGACCGGCCCCAUGGGGACUGCGGUACGGCCCAGACUCCUACGGGAGGCAGCAGGGGGGAAUAUUGCGCAAUGGGCGGACGCCUGAUGCAGCAACGCCGCGUGCGGGAUGACGGCCUUCGGGUUGUAAACCGCUUUCGCCUGUGACGAAGCGUGAGUGACGGUAAUGGGUAAAGAAGCACCGGCUAACUACGUG